This 861-nucleotide long non-coding RNA is filed under the name Vulpes vulpes (red fox). RNAcentral's name for it is "lncRNA (ENSVVUG00000011687.1)". The record is from RNAcentral. Lineage: Eukaryota; Metazoa; Chordata; Mammalia; Carnivora; Canidae.
AUGGUGAUGCGAGGCUGCUUUGCUCAGGGAAUUUCAAGGAGCUAUGGCAUGUUUAUGCUAAAAGGCUCUGCUCUUGAAUCCUUCACUCCUUUCUUCUCCUGGCAAUAUGGACAUGAUCCCCCUCCAAGUCUGAGGAUAACCUACACCAUAUUCCAAAGUCUGAACCCACAUCUAAAAAAGAAUUCUUUGCAGUAUCAAGGAAAGAACAAAUAAGCAAUCAAACAGUAAGUUAACACUGGACCCCAAUCUUGUACUUAACAAUUGUAUUGUGCUAGUAGCACCACCACCAUCUCCCUGUACACAAUCUAGUUCAACAUAGAGUCCAUUAGUUCCUCUUGUCUAACAUCUCUCCAUUGGGCUCAUUUGUGAGUUUCAAAUUCAGGGAGGAUUAUUGAAUUAUGACACUUUAUGAAAUUAUUGAGUUCCUAAAGUCAAUCACAAUAGAGACAAUAUCCUCUACAUAAAAAGUUGUUAAAUACCAAGUUUUUGUUUACAAAGUCAAAUUAUCUCAUAGAAAAUGAGGGGCAAAUCUUUAGGAGAUCACUAGAAGCAAACUGUCAGAGGGUUGGCUUUUAAGUUUUUUGUUUAUAUAUUCACCUAUUCUGUUUACUCAACUUCCCAUACUGAAAGAUUGAUUCCAUAUGUUUGAGACCUUAAUUAUAUGCUUAUAUCCUUCUCUGCCAAAUUCACAGGAGUAGCUAUACUUUCAAGUCAUGUUGAAGACCCUCUGAUCCAUCUUUUUGUCUUAUGUGAUAAAUUUAUGCUUUCAUUUUCUUCAACUGGAUUACAUACCCUAAAAAGUUCUCUUCGAGGUAGGAGUUGGCAAAUAAAUUUCCAAUGCAAAAGUAGUAGCUUUUUAUG